Molecule: long non-coding RNA, 5530 nt
Organism: Larimichthys crocea (large yellow croaker)
Lineage: Eukaryota; Metazoa; Chordata; Actinopteri; Sciaenidae
Exons: 3
Source: RefSeq, a predicted model, not a curated record
AUCCCCCCACAUCCCCCACGGGUGCGACGCCCGUGUGUAGAUAGUGUGUGGAGCUGAGGUGGGCUGAAUGAAGCCACGGUGCUCAAACAUGCCACCUGUGACUGCAACCACCUGUCCGAAGUGACGCAAAUCAAACGCACCUGAGAUGUUGCGUGUUCAACAGGUUGCAUGCUGGGACCUCCAACAUUGAUUGUGACGUUUGCUCUUCAGGGUCUACUUUGAGUGAGGCGUGUGAAGGCCUCUGUGCUGACGUGACUGCGGCGCAAACAUGUUUGAAGUGGACUGGUUAUAAUGGGAAAGACAGUCUGGACUGGUUCUCAUGCUCCAUGAGCAUGGUCAGGCAAAGAAGCUGAAUGAAAGAGCGCAAUGUUGAAGACUUCGCGGUGCACGAGGCUCAGAGUGAUGCUCAGACAGGGUGAGAUCCUGUGGCCACAACGCCUUACUUCAGAGGAAAGGCAUCUCAAUAGAGCGCUGCUGUAGACGGGCCGGAGAGGCAGGCGUGUGUGAGGUGUGUGUGGGGGUGGGCAUCCACAGCAGACAGGCAAUUGGACAACGUCUCUCAGGGACUGUGAGGCGGCCAAACAAGAGUCUGCUGAGGAGGGAACUUGAAAGAAAAGGCAAAUUUGAAAUGAAAAGGAGCAGUUGUAAGAAGAUUUAACCACUGGCCUGCUGUUAAGGAGAACAGUUGCAUAAGAAAUACAAACAGUGCAGAUGGACAUCCAGUGAUGGGGGAUUCAGAAUGGUGCAGGGUAGGGAAUGGCAGGAGUCCAGUUGUACAGAUGUUGAGACGAGACAAGGCUGGACGUGGCAGGUGAGUGGCGGGGGGGUUUCCUGGAACACAGGGUGAUCACAAUUAGGCAAGGAUCAAACAAGAACAAAGACUUCACAAAUGAGUAUAGAGUUGGCUGUAACAUUACCAUGUGGGAGACUGAACGAUCAGGCGCAGUGCAUGGCUGAACAAGUCUUGUAUGCAGCGGAGGUUGAUUGGGAGCAAAUCAAUAGUGCAAGUCUUGAAGGUGUAUUCUAAUAGUGUCCAUAAAUAUAAGUCAUACUGCAGGUUGUCUUUUUAGCAAACUAUUAACAAAUUGGAUAGAUGAUGUUAAUGCCUCUCUUAACAUUAGUACUGAUGCAGUGGCAUUAGCGUUAGUCUUAUAUUAACAAAAACACACAAAAACGCAAUUGCAACAUUAAAACUGAAGCUAAAAUGUUGAUGUAAAAAAACAAAAACACACCUUUUUAAAAUUGCUUUUAAUAUUUAGUUGUACAGUGUCUUUGAGUAUCUAGACCAGCGCUUUUAAAUAAAAUGUAUUAUUAUUAUUAUUAUUAUUAUUAUUAUUAUUAUUAUUAUUAUCUAUAACAUGAUACUUUAUCUCAAUAACUAAUAAUAAAACACUGGUGACUCAAUUCACAGAUCUAAAAGGGUGUUACCUGCUAUGACACAUGAUUCCCAGUCUCAAGUGGACUGGUAAUAGACUGAGAUUAUAAUAGAUCUGAAUUAAUUGUGGACUUCUUUGCAGUGAUCCACCUUUACCAAGAGAUGAUAGUGGUAUAUUGAGCCAACUUUGAGGCAGAGUGCGGCCCUACACCCACGUCUGUGGCACUGAUAACAACUGAUAAUGUCCAUUUAAUCGAGUGGUAACAUUUAAAGCAGGUGCAGAGAGAGGCAAGAAAAAAAAAAAGUCUCCAGCUCAGUGUGUGUGGAUAUGUGUGUGUGUUGCACGGAUGGGUGUAGGUGUUGUAGAUUCUUCUCUACCUUGUCUGCACUUCUGUUGCCCUGGGAGCAGUAGUCAUGGAGCUGCUCCUCAACCAGGAGAUAUUCAGACACACACACACACACACAGGCACUAUUGUACACACAGACUAAAUGCACACAGGCAGAUAAACCCAGUCACAGACAUGCUUACAGAUUUAGACAAUUGCAAAAACAUAUGGUUCAGGUUCACACUGUGCGGUAUUUUUCGAACUGUCUCUCUCAACUUGGUUUCGGUGGUUAAAUGAUGAUUCAUUGAGCCUUCGACGUAAAAUAAAACAGAAAUAAAAUAGAAAAUACCAUGAAUCAUUCUGUUUUCAGGCCUUAGGACAGAGGUGCAAACAUGCACGACAAAUUCUCCCAUGAAUAGAUGACAAAAUUAAAGGGCAGUACUGUAAGUAAGAUUUUAUGGCUCAUAGCACAAACUGAAUAUAUUUGUGAGGGGGUUGAUCAAUACUAUUGACUUAACAAUUACUUAGCAAGUGGUGGAAGCUCUGGCUUUCAACAUCCCUUAUCUAGUUAAUAUGUCUGUUUUGAAAACUAUUCCCUUGCUCACCACAUUUGAACUACAUAACAAUGCAGGACAGUGCCCAGAGCAAAUGACCACAGGUGCAAAACAUUUAAGAUGGCUUCUUCUCUGUUGGUUAUCUGCUUUAUUGAAAAGGUCAUUGCAUGACACUUCAGAAAAAAAUAAAAGCUAGAGCAGCUUGCAGACUCAAAACAUACCCACUCAAAGCCAUGAUCCGUUUGGACAUGGAUGUGUCUAAAGCAUGGACAAAGGAAUGUGCUGUCCUGACUACCCAGAACUUUAGGUCUGCCAGUCUUAGGACUCUUAUCAUCAUUAGUAUUCUCAUGCCAGCAGGGUUUUUUUAAGAAAAUCUUUAUGAAUCUCCCUCCUGCUGAGAUGUGACAGAGGUCGGUGUUCCCUUGUUACAUUUUUUAAUUAAUUUCUUAAAUUAUCUCAACCUCACCUAUCCGAUCAGUGAAGGGAGACAAUAAAUGAUAUGCAGUCCAGGUGAGCUGGAAACGAACUGAAACAGCAACUACAUUUCCAUAUCAGGCUAGUUGCAAGACCACUAAGCCGCAAUGACACCCCAAAGCUUGAAACAUCAAGUUGAGAUGGAUUCUGUCAGACAUUUCCAAUCAGAUCUGUUCAUUUUAUUGAUCUUGUAUUUUUCCUUGCAAAAUAAUCAAGGCCAUUAGACUAGUAUACAUCAACAAAGAAGACAGCCUUUCAUCAACACCAAAAUCUCUGGUAGGUGUUAGGACAGAUAAAUGAACACCUGAGGUCCCUUGUUUUGGGGGCCUUCAAUAUCAAACUGCCUUUUAGGCCACCUGGUAAUGAAUAGGUUUUGCAAAUUUAGUUUUACACUGCAACUGGUGUCCGUCCCACCAUUCAAUUGGCUGACUGAAAAGCACUUGUUUUAAAGCACCGUUGAGUGUUUAUCUUUACUGUGUCUCUGAUUGUGAAGCCCUAAUGACUAUGUACAGCUGCCACAAGAGCAAUGGAACACGCAUUUGCCAAUGCAUUAAAUAUCCAAAGGCUGUGAAAGCUCUUUCACAAACAAAAAUUAUAGACUGCACUUGAUUACGUGUAUUUGGAAUAUCAAAAGGACCUUGUCAAGAACAUGCAGAGAGCGGUGUGGCUCACAGGAAGUAGGCUGUGGGUAUCAUCCUGAAUAACUAUUUCAGUCCUAAUUAUCCUCCCCUUCCCUCUGCUCUCAAAUUGUGGAGAUAGGUCAGGUGAUGUGUGACUACACAGAGAGCAAUGAUGCUUCUUUGUACCUGAAAACUUAAAUAAAAUAUAUAUGCGCAAUCGGGCCAUGGAACACAAGAGUAUUUAAUUUUAAUUUAAUAUACCUACGCAGUCCAUACAGGUGGAGCUUUUCAUGCUAAAGCUCUUCCCCAGGCAGUAUUGACCAGAUAAAGCUAUACAUGUUAGUAAAGAGAGGGAGCUUAAAGGAUGUCAGCAGCAUACAUUACCGCAAUACCGUAUGAAUCUGACAGCUUAUAGACGAAUAGAAAACCUAUAUGUACUUGAAUAGAUGCCAGAAUUAUGCAAAUAAUGAAGGAACUGUGAAAAAAAAAAAACGUCACAGAAAUCAAAUUAACCAAUACCAGCUCAGUUUCCUCCUUCAUAAGAAAACAUGUUUGAAUUAAAAUACUAACAGGCCUUAAAAACCUUAAUCUAUGACCAAAUGCUUCAUCUAUACCAUGCAAUCCCCUGUAUAUGUUGUUUAAAGAUCAUGAGCAAUACAACAAAGCAGUGGCAUAAAUAUAAGAAUAUCCCGCCUUUUCAUUUGCAGCCAACUUCAUGAAUCAUAAACAGAACGUGUGAUUUGAAGGUUGAACAACAAAGCUUGCAAAUACAUGGUAUACAAGCCAUAGCCAACCAAUAGUCGUCUUUUCAAGUCUCAGAUCAUUCACGUUCACUGUUGUUCUCUGCCUUAGCUUGACAUUAGGUCAGUCUCAAGUGUUCAGCCUCUGUUUUGUAAGGAGAAAAGACAGCAGGGGGAGAGGGAGAAGUUAGAAACUACAGUACAGUAUUUGCUAUCAGGGCCACACCUGAAGGGAAAUGAUGACCUGGCUGUUUGUAGAGUGUGACUGUUUGCGUGUAUGUGAGAGAGAGAUAAAAAAGAUAGAGACAGAGCAACUGUGUCAGGCAUAUUUAUGCGUGCAGUAGUACAUCCUGCACGGUGCAUGUGUAGGUUAUUUCACUAACAGUGUUGUGGGGGGGGGGGGGGGGGGUGUCUUGGAUGAAUUUUCUGCACCCAGAGAGAGUGAAGCAGAAAGAGAGAGGUUUUGAUUGAGUGCCCGCUGAGGUCCCAUCAGAUGUGGCUUAAAGGAAUAAAGGAUUCAUUUGAAGGAGGGCGAGAAAGAUUACAUACAGUCCUCACAUCUAUCCAAAUCCCUCGCAAAUCCCUCUACAUCACACUUAUCAAGCCAUGUGCAGUGCAGUAUACUAACUCUCUUUGGUCUUAUCGUAAGGCUAGCAUGUAUCAUAGUUGUCUAGUGGAUGUGUAACUUAUUCUGCAAUACACUUUGGAUCAUGCAUACAUGUCUGAGUGGGUCAUGGGGCUACACCUCUUUCUGAAAAUGCCAGACUUUAAUCACAGCGGUACUUAAAAGAAAUGCCAGUAUUGGUCAUCGAGGUAAUCCAGCCCUUCGUUGUGAGGCACUGAUAGUGCAGUAAGUCAUGUUUAAAACAUAAACUCUGACAAACCACUGAUAACCUGAAGGUUUCUUUUUCUUUUUUUUUAAUUCAUACAGCGUUCACAAGCUUGUUAGACAGUACACAUAUGUUGGUAAGCACUGUAAAAACCCUUAGGCAUGCCCUUAAGCAUUAUUUUCUGUCUUUAGGGCACUUGAGUUGGGCCAACAGUGCCCAGUCUGAGUACUACACAUCAGUACUGAACAUCACAUUAACCACUGCAGAAUGCAGCAGAGCAUUGAGUGUAGCUAUCAUCGAGUACUCGCAUUACAAAAUGAUCAGAUGUUGACAUUUUAGAAUUGUCACGGUGUGAGAAUAGGUAAAAAUAUGCAGCAAUGACAUACAGUACUUAUCAGAAGGAGAAGGGUGUACACAGCUAAUGUGAUUUUGUGUUUAUUUUCAUGGUAAAAAUAAAAAAAUAAUAAUAAUGUAGCAGUUGGUGGUUUCAGAUCCAUGGAGUCAAGCUAUUUGGCUCUGUUUCUUGCCAUGCUCUUAUUGUAUCAGCUUACCCACACUCAUUAAUUCUAUUUAUUCCAAAUUACACAUUGAUAAUGUGACCCAGGAAAAAA